GAGACCCUGUACAGAACGACCCAC
This 24-nucleotide unclassified non-coding RNA is filed under the name Mus musculus (house mouse). Its description in RNAcentral is "oocyte_clustered_small_RNA11138". The record is from RNAcentral. Lineage: Eukaryota; Metazoa; Chordata; Mammalia; Rodentia; Muridae.